UACGUAGGGUGCAAGCGUUGUCCGGAAUUAUUGGGCGUAAAGAGCUCGUAGGCGGUCUGUCACGUCGGCUGUGAAAACCCGGGGCUUAACCCCGGGUCGCAGUGGAUACGGGCAGGCUAGAGGUAGGUAGGGGAGAAUGGAAUUCCCGGUGUAGCGGUGAAAUGCGCAGAUAUCGGGAGGAACACCGGCGGCGAAGGCGGUUCUCUGGGCCUUACCUGACGCUGAGGAGCGAAAGCGUGGGGAGCGAACAGG
Molecule: ribosomal RNA, 252 nt
Filed under: uncultured bacterium
Lineage: Bacteria
Description: partial 16S ribosomal RNA
Rfam family: Bacterial small subunit ribosomal RNA
Source: RNAcentral